CCUACGGGAUGCCGCAGUGAGGAAUAUUGGUCAAUGGGCGUAAGCCUGAACCAGCCAAGUCGCGUGAGGGAUGAAGGUUCUAUGGAUCGUAAACCUCUUUUAUAAGGGAAUAAAGUGCGGGACGUGUCCCGUUUUGUAUGUACCUUAUGAAUAAGGAUCGGCUAACUCCGUGCCAGCAGCCGCGGUAAUACGGAGGAUCCGAGCGUUAUACGGAUUUAUUGGGUUUAAAGGGUGCGUAGGCGGCCUUUUAAGUCAGCGGUGAAAGUCUGUGGCUCAACCAUAGAAUUGCCGUUGAAACUGGGAGGCUUGAGUAUGUUUGAGGCAGGCGGAAUGCGUGGUGUAGCGGUGAAAUGCUUAGAUAUCACGCAGAACCCCGAUUGCGAAGGCAGCCUACCAAGCCAUGACUGACGCUGAUGCACGAAAGCGUGGGGAUCAAACAGGAUUAGAUACCCGUGUAGUC
This 460-nucleotide ribosomal RNA is filed under the name uncultured bacterium. RNAcentral describes it as "partial 16S ribosomal RNA". It matches the Rfam family "Bacterial small subunit ribosomal RNA", at positions 338 to 795 of the family's 1533-position model. The record is from RNAcentral.